This is a small nucleolar RNA of Choloepus hoffmanni (Hoffmann's two-fingered sloth), 84 nucleotides long. The record is from Ensembl. NCBI's taxonomy places the organism in Eukaryota, Metazoa, Chordata, Mammalia, Pilosa, Megalonychidae.
CAGUCUGAAAUGAUGAUUCUUUAAAUUUCAUGUCUCUUCUCUAACUUUUUCUGGAGAUUUGGCCUUAGUGAUCUGAUCAGGCUG